Molecule: long non-coding RNA, 37853 nt
Filed under: Sorghum bicolor (sorghum)
Lineage: Eukaryota; Viridiplantae; Streptophyta; Magnoliopsida; Poales; Poaceae
Description: long non-coding RNA (SBIC_LNC015499)
Source: RNAcentral
AACACGAGGACUUCCCAGGAGGUCACCCAUCCUAGUACUACUCUCGCCCAAGCACGCUUAACUUCGGAGUUCUGAUGGGAUCCGGUGCUUUAAUGCUGGUAUGAUCGCAUCCGACAUACCGUGCGUUCUCCUCCCCUUUAUGCCCGCGCCUCCGUGUACGGCCCGCCCAUAGCUCCUUCGACGGCGCCGCCUAGGAACGCGGAGAAAAUAUGACAAAGGAACGGCCAAAAAUAAAAAGAAAGACCUUUCUUUUGAAAAAACAAACAAAAAAAAGGAAUGCAACACGAGGACUUCCCAGGAGGUCACCCAUCCUAGUACUACUUUCGCCCAAGCACGCUUAACUUCGGAGUUCCGAUGGGAUCCGGUGCUUUAGUCCUGGUAUGAUCGCAUCCGACAUACCGUGCGUUCUCCUCCCCUUGAGGCCCGCGCCUCCGUGUACGGCCCGCCCAUAGCUCCUUCGACGGCGCCGCCUAGGAACGCGGAGAAAAUAUGACAAAGGAACGGCCCACAACUAGAAAGAAAGACCUUUCUUUUGAAAAGACAGACAAACAAAAGGAAUGCAACACGAGGACUUCCCAGGAGGUCACCCAUCCUAGUACUACUCUCGCCCAAGCACGCUUAACUUCGGAGUUCUGAUGGGAUCCGGUGCUUUAGUGCUGGUAUGAUCGCAUCCGACAUACCGUGCGUUCUCCUCCCCUUUAUGCCCGCGCCUCCGUGUACGGCCCGCCCAUAGCUCCUUCGACGGCGCCGCCUAGGAACGCGGAGAAAAUAUGACAAAGGAACGGCCAAAAAUAAAAAGAAAGACCUUUCUUUUGAAAAAACAAACAAAUAAAAGGAAUGCAACACGAGGACUUCCCAGGAGGUCACCCAUCCUAGUACUACUCUCGCCCAAGCACGCUUAACUUCGGAGUUCUGAUGGGAUCCGGUGCUUUAGUGCUGGUAUGAUCGCAUCCGACAUACCGUGCGUUCUCCUCCCCUUUAUGCCCGCGCCUCCGUGUACGGCCCGCCCAUAGCUCCUUCGACGGCGCCGCCUAGGAACGCGGAGAAAAUAUGACAAAGGAACGGCCAAAAAUAAAAAGAAAGACCUUUCAUUUUGAAAAAACAAACAAAAAAAAGGAAUGCAACACGAGGACUUCCCAGGAGGUCACCCAUCCUAGUACUACUCUCGCCCAAGCACGCUUAACUUCGGAGUUCUGAUGGGAUCCGGUGCUUUAGUGCUGGUAUGAUCGCAUCCGACAUACCGUGCGUUCUCCUCCCCUUUAUGCCCGCGCCUCCGUGUACGGCCCGCCCAUAGCUCCUUCGACGGCAGCCGCCUAGGAACGCGGAGAAUAUAUGACAAAGGAACGGCCAAAAAUAAAAAGAAAGACCUUUCUUAUGAAAAAACAGACAUACCCAAGGAAUGCAACACGAGGACUUCCCAGGUGCCCAAGCACGCUUAACUUCGGAGUUCUGAUGGGAUCCGGUGCUUUAGUGCUGGUAUGAUCGCAUCCGACAUACCGUGCGUUCUCCUCCCCUUUAUGCCCGCGCCUCCGUGUACGGCCCGCCCAUAGCUCCUUCGACGGCGCCGCCUAGGAACGCGGAGAAAAUAUGACAAAGGAACGGCCAAAAAUAAAAAGAAAGACACUUUCUUUUGAAAAAACAAACAAAAAAAAGGAAUGCAACACGAGGACUUCCCAGGAGGUCACCCAUCCUAGUACUACUCUCGCCCAAGCACGCUUAACUUCGGAGUUCUGAUGGGAUCCGGUGCUUUAGUGCUGGUAUGAUCGCAUCCGACAUACCGUGCGUUCUCCUCCCCUUUAUGCCCGCGCCUCCGUGUACGGCCCGCCCAUAGCUCCUUCGACGGCGCCGCCUAGGAACGCGGAGAAAAUAUGACAAAGGAACGGCCAAAAACAAAAAGAAAGACCUUUCUUUUGAAAAAACAAACGCCUCCGUGUACGGCCCGCCCAUAGCUCCUUCGACGGCGCCGCCUAGGAACGCGGAGAAAAUAUGACAAAGGAACGGCCAAAAAUAAAAAGAAAGACCUUUCUUUUGAAAAAACAAACAAAAAAAAGGAAUGCAACACGAGGACUUCCCAGGAGGUCACCCAUCCUAGUACUACUCUCGCCCAAGCACGCUUAACUUCGGAGUUCUGAUGGGAUCCGGUGCUUUAGUGCUGGUAUGAUCGCAUCCGACAUACCGUGCGUUCUCCUCCCCUUUAUGCCCGCGCCUCCGUGUACGGCCCGCCCAUAGCUCCUUCGACGGCGCCGCCUAGGAACGCGGAGAAAAUAUGACAAAGGAACGGCCAAAAAUAAAAAGAAAGACCUUUCUUUUGAAAAAACAAACGCCUCCGUGUACGGCCCGCCCAUAGCUCCUUCGACGGCGCCGCCUAGGAACGCGGAGAAAAUAUGACAAAGGAACGGCCAAAAAUAAAAAGAAAGACCUUUCUUUUGAAAAAACAAACAAAAAAAAGGAAUGCAACACGAGGACUUCCCAGGAGGUCACCCAUCCUAGUACUACUCUCGCCCAAGCACGCUUAACUUCGGAGUUCUGAUGGGAUCCGGUGCUUUAGUGCUGGUAUGAUCGCAUCCGACAUACCGUGCGUUCUCCUCCCCUUUAUGCCCGCGCCUCCGUGUACGGCCCGCCCAUAGCUCCUUCGACGGCGCCGCCUAGGAACGCGGAGAAAAUAUGACAAAGGAACGGCCAAAAAUAAAAAGAAAGACCUUUCUUUUGAAAAAACAAACGCCUCCGUGUACGGCCCGCCCAUAGCUCCUUCGACGGCGCCGCCUAGGAACGCGGAGAAAAUAUGACAAAGGAACGGCCAAAAAUAAAAAGAAAGACCUUUCUUUUGAAAAAACAAACAAAAAAAAGGAAUGCAACACGAGGACUUCCCAGGAGGUCACCCAUCCUAGUACUACUCUCGCCCAAGCACGCUUAACUUCGGAGUUCUGAUGGGAUCCGGUGCUUUAGUGCUGGUAUGAUCGCAUCCGACAUACCGUGCGUUCUCCUCCCCUUUAUGCCCGCGCCUCCGUGUACGGCCCGCCCAUAGCUCCUUCGACGGCGCCGCCUAGGAACGCGGAGAAAAUAUGACAAAGGAACGGCCAAAAAUAAAAAGAAAGACCUUUCUUUUGAAAAAACAAACAAAUAAAAGGAAUGCAACACGAGGAGUUCCCAGGAGGUCACCCAUCCUAGUACUACUCUCGCCCAAGCACGCUUAACUUCGGAGUUCUGAUGGGAUCCGGUGCUUUAGUGCUGGUAUGAUCGCAUCCGACAUACCGUGCGUUCUCCUCCCCUUUAUGCCCGCGCCUCCGUGUACGGCCCGCCCAUAGCUCCUUCGACGGCGCCGCCUAGGAACGCGGAGAAAAUAUGACAAAGGAACGGCCAAAAAUAAAAAGAAAGACCUUUCUUUUGAAAAAACAAACAAAAAAAAGAAAUGCAACACGAGGACUUCCCAGGAGGUCACCCAUCCUAGUACUACUCUCGCCCAAGCACGCUUAACUUCGGAGUUCUGAUGGGAUCCGGUGCUUUAGUGCUGGUAUGAUCGCAUCCGACAUACCGUGCGUUCUCCUCCCCUUUAUGCCCGCGCCUCCGUGUACGGCCCGCCCAUAGCUCCUUCGACGGCGCCGCCUAGGAACGCGGAGAAAAUAUGACAAAGGAACGGCCAAAAAUAAAAAGAAAGACCUUUCUUUGAAAAAACAAACAAUUCACAGGAAUGCAACACGAGGACUUCCCACGAGGUCACCCAUCCUAGUACUACUCUCGCCCAAGCACGCUUAACUUCGGAGUUCUGAUGGGAUCCGGUGCUUUAGUGCUGGUAUGAUCGCAUCCGACAUACCGUGCGUUCUCCUCCCCUUUAUGCCCGCGCCUCCGUGUACGGCCCGCCCAUAGCUCCUUCGACGGCGCCGCCUAGGAACGCGGAGAAAAUAUGACAAAGGAACGGCCAAAAAUAAAAAGAAAGACCUUUCUUUUGAAAAAACAAACCAAAAAAAAGGAAUGCAACACGAGGACUUCCCAAGAGGUCACCCAUCCUAGUACUACUCUCGCCCAAGCACGCUUAACUUCGGAGUUCUGAUGGGAUCCGGUGCUUUAGUGCUGGUAUGAUCGCAUCCGACAUACCGUGCGUUCUCCUCCCCAUUAUGCCCGCGCCUCCGUGUACGGCCCGCCCAUAGCUCCUUUGACGGCGCCGCUUAGGAACGCGGAGAAAAUAUGACAAAGGAACGGCCAAAAAUAAAAAGAAAGACCUUUCUUUUGAAAAAACAAACAAAUAAAAGGAAUGCAACACGAGGACUUCCCAGGAGGUCACCCAUCCUAGUACUACUCUCGCCCAAGCACGCUUAACUUCGGAGUUCUGAUGGGAUCCGGUGCUUUAGUGCUGGUAUGAUCGCAUCCGACAUACCGUGCGUUCUCCUCCCCUUUAUGCCCGCGCCUCCGUGUACGGCCCGCCCAUAGCUCCUUCGACGGCGCCGCCUAGGAACGCGGAGAAAAUAUGACAAAGGAACGGCCAAAAACAAAAAGAAAGACCUUUCUUUUGAAAAAACAAACAAAAAAAAGGAAUGCAACACGAGGACUUCCCAGGAGGUCACCCAUCCUAGUACUACUCUCGCCCAAGCACGCUUAACUUCGGAGUUCUGAUGGGAUCCGGUGCUUUAGUGCUGGUAUGAUCGCAUCCGACAUACCGUGCGUUCUCCUCCCCUUUAUGCCCGCGCCUCCGUGUACGGCCCGCCCAUAGCUCCUUCGACGGCGCCGCCUAGGAACGCGGAGAAAAUAUGACAAAGGAACGGCCAAAAAUAAAAAGAAAGACCUUUCUUUUGAAAAAACAAACAAAUAAAAGGAAUGCAACACGAGGACUUCCCAGGAGGUCACCCAUCCUAGUACUACUCUCGCCCAAGCACGCUUAACUUCGGAGUUCUGAUGGGAUCCGGUGCUUUAGUGCUGGUAUGAUCGCAUCCGACAUACCGUGCGUUCUCCUCCCCUUUAUGCCCGCGCCUCCGUGUACGGCCCGCCCAUAGCUCCUUCGACGGCGCCGCCUAGGAACGCGGAGAAAAUAUGACAAAGGAACGGCCAAAAAUAAAAAGAAAGACCUUUCUUUUGAAAAAACAAACAAAUAAAAGGAAUGCAACACGAGGACUUCCCAGGAGAUCACCCAUCCUAGUACUACUCUCGCCCAAGCACGCUUAACUUCGGAGUUCUGAUGGGAUCCGGUGCUUUAGUGCUGGUAUGAUCGCAUCCGACAUACCGUGCGUUCUCCUCCCCUUUAUGCCCGCGCCUCCGUGUACGGCCCGCCCAUAGCUCCUUCGACGGCGCCGCCUAGGAACGCGGAGAAAAUAUGACAAAGGAACGGCCAAAAAUAAAAAGAAAGACCUUUCUUUUGAAAAAACAAACAAAAAAAAGGAAUGCAACACGAGGACUUCCCACGAGGUCACCCAUCCUAGUACUACUCUAGUACCAAGCACGCUUAACUUCGGAGUUCUGAUGGGAUCCGGUGCUUUAGUGCUGGUAUGAUCGCAUCCGACAUACCGUGCGUUCUCCUCCCCUUUAUGCCCGCGCCUCCGUGUACGGCCCGCCCAUAGCUCCUUCGACGGCGCCGCCUAGGAACGCGGAGAAAAUAUGACAAAGGAACGGCCAAAAAUAAAAAGAAAGACCUUUCUUUUGAAAAAACAAACAAAAAAAAGGAAUGCAACACGAGGACUUCCCAGGAGGUCACCCAUCCUAGUACUACUCUCGCCCAAGCACGCUUAACUUCGGAGUUCUGAUGGGAUCCGGUGCUUUAGUGCUGGUAUGAUCGCAUCCGACAUACCGUGCGUUCUCCUCCCCUUUAUGCCCGCGCCUCCGUGUACGGCCCGCCCAUAGCUCCUUCGACGGCGCCGCCUAGGAACGCGGAGAAAAUAUGACAAAGGAACGGCCAAAAAUAAAAAGAAAGACCUUUCUUUUGAAAAAACAAACAAAUAAAAGGAAUGCAACACGAGGACUUCCCAGGAGGUCACCCAUCCUAGUACUACUCUCGCCCAAGCACGCUUAACUUCGGAGUUCUGAUGGGAUCCGGUGCUUUAGUGCUGGUAUGAUCGCAUCCGACAUACCGUGCGUUCUCCUCCCCUUUAUGCCCGCGCCUCCGUGUACGGCCCGCCCAUAGCUCCUUCGACGGCGCCGCCUAGGAACGCGGAGAAAAUAUGACAAAGGAACGGCCAAAAAUAAAAAGAAAGACCUUUCUUUUGAAAAAACAAACAAAAAAAAGGAAUGCAACACGAGGACUUCCCAGGAGGUCACCCAUCCUAGUACUACUCUCGCCCAAGCACGCUUAACUUCGGAGUUCUGAUGGGAUCCGGUGCUUUAGUGCUGGUAUGAUCGCAUCCGACAUACCGUGCGUUCUCCUCCCCUUUAUGCCCGCGCCUCCGUGUACGGCCCGCCCAUAGCUCCUUCGACGGCGCCGCCUAGGAACGCGGAGAAAAUAUGACAAAGGAACGGCCAAAAAUAAAAAGAAAGACCUUUCUUUUGAAAAAACAAACAAAAAAAAGGAAUGCAACACGAGGACUUCCCAGGAGGUCACCCAUCCUAGUACUACUCUCGCCCAAGCACGCUUAACUUCGGAGUUCUGAUGGGAUCCGGUGCUUUAGUGCUGGUAUGAUCGCAUCCGACAUACCGUGCGUUCUCCUCCCCUUUAUGCCCGCGCCUCCGUGUACGGCCCGCCCAUAGCUCCUUCGACGGCGCCGCCUAGGAACGCGGAGAAAAUAUGACAAAGGAACGGCCAAAAAUAAAAAGAAAGACCUUUCUUUUGAAAAAACAAACAAAUAAAAGGAAUGCAACACAAGGACUUCCCAGGAGGUCACCCAUCCUAGUACUACUCUCGCCCAAGCACGCUUAACUUCGGAGUUCUGAUGGGAUCCGGUGCUUUAGUGCUGGUAUGAUCGCAUCCGACAUACCGUGCGUUCUCCUCCCCUUUAUGCCCGCGCCUCCGUGUACGGCCCGCCCAUAGCUCCUUCGACGGCGCCGCCUAGGAACGCGGAGAAAAUAUGACAAAGGAACGGCCAAAAAUAAAAAGAAAGACCUUUCUUUUGAAAAAACAAACGCCUCCGUGUACGGCCCGCCCAUAGCUCCUUCGACGGCGCCGCCUAGGAACGCGGAGAAAAUAUGACAAAGGAACGGCCAAAAAUAAAAAGAAAGACCUUUCUUUUGAAAAAACAAACAAAAAAAAGGAAUGCAACACGAGGACUUCCCAGGAGGUCACCCAUCCUAGUACUACUCUCGCCCAAGCACGCUUAACUUCGGAGUUCUGAUGGGAUCCGGUGCUUUAGUGCUGGUAUGAUCGCAUCCGACAUACCGUGCGUUCUCCUCCCCUUUAUGCCCGCGCCUCCGUGUACGGCCCGCCCAUAGCUCCUUCGACGGCGCCGCCUAGGAACGCGGAGAAAAUAUGACAAAGGAACGGCCAAAAAUAAAAAGAAAGACCUUUCUUUUGAAAAAACAAACGCCUCCGUGUACGGCCCGCCCAUAGCUCCUUCGACGGCGCCGCCUAGGAACGCGGAGAAAAUAUGACAAAGGAACGGCCAAAAAUAAAAAGAAAGACCUUUCUUUUGAAAAAACAAACAAAAAAAAGGAAUGCAACACGAGGACUUCCCAGGAGGUCACCCAUCCUAGUACUACUCUCGCCCAAGCACGCUUAACUUCGGAGUUCUGAUGGGAUCCGGUGCUUUAGUGCUGGUAUGAUCGCAUCCGACAUACCGUGCGUUCUCCUCCCCUUUAUGCCCGCGCCUCCGUGUACGGCCCGCCCAUAGCUCCUUCGACGGCGCCGCCUAGGAACGCGGAGAAAAUAUGACAAAGGAACGGCCAAAAAUAAAAAGAAAGACCUUUCUUUUGAAAAAACAAACAAAUAAAAGGAAUGCAACACGAGGACUUCCCAGGAGGUCACCCAUCCUAGUACUACUCUCGCCCAAGCACGCUUAACUUCGGAGUUCUGAUGGGAUCCGGUGCUUUAGUGCUGGUAUGAUCGCAUCCGACAUACCGUGCGUUCUCCUCCCCUUUAUGCCCGCGCCUCCGUGUACGGCCCGCCCAUAGCUCCUUCGACGGCGCCGCCUAGGAACGCGGAGAAAAUAUGACAAAGGAACGGCCAAAAAUAAAAAGAAAGACCUUUCUUUUGAAAAAACAAACAAAAAAAAAGGAAUGCAACACGAGGACUUCCCAGGAGGUCACCCAUCCUAGUACUACUCUCGCCCAAGCACGCUUAACUUCGGAGUUCUGAUGGGAUCCGGUGCUUUAGUGCUGGUAUGAUCGCAUCCGACAUACCGUGCGUUCUCCUCCCCUUUAUGCCCGCGCCUCCGUGUACGGCCCGCCCAUAGCUCCUUCGACGGCGCCGCCUAGGAACGCGGAGAAAAUAUGACAAAGGAACGGCCAAAAAUAAAAAGAAAGACCUUUCUUUUGAAAAAACAAACAAAAAAAAGGAAUGCAACACGAGGACUUCCCAGGAGGUCACCCAUCCUAGUACUACUCUCGCCCAAGCACGCUUAACUUCGGAGUUCUGAUGGGAUCCGGUGCUUUAGUGCUGGUAUGAUCGCAUCCGACAUACCGUGCGUUCUCCUCCCCUUUAUGCCCGCGCCUCCGUGUACGGCCCGCCCAUAGCUCCUUCGACGGCGCCGCCUAGGAACGCGGAGAAAAUAUGACAAAGGAACGGCCAAAAAUAAAAAGAAAGACCUUUCUUUUGAAAAAACAAACAAAAAAAAGGAAUGCAACACGAGGACUUCCCAGGAGGUCACCCAUCCUAGUACUACUCUCGCCCAAGCACGCUUAACUUCGGAGUUCUGAUGGGAUCCGGUGCUCUAGUGCUGGUAUGAUCGCAUCCGACAUACCGUGCGUUCUCCUCCCCUUUAUGCCCGCGCCUCCGUGUACGGCCCGCCCAUAGCUCCUUCGACGGCGCCGCCUAGGAACGCGGAGAAAAUAUGACAAAGGAACGGCCAAAAAUAAAAAGAAAGACCUUUCUUUUGAAAAAACAAACAAAAAAAAAGGAAUGCAACACGAGGACUUCCCAGGAGGUCACCCAUCCUAGUACUACUCUCGCCCAAGCACGCUUAACUUCGGAGUUCUGAUGGGAUCCGGUGCUUUAGUGCUGGUAUGAUCGCAUCCGACAUACCGUGCGUUCUCCUCCCCUUUAUGCCCGCGCCUCCGUGUACGGCCCGCCCAUAGCUCCUUCGACGGCGCCGCCUAGGAACGCGGAGAAAAUAUGACAAAGGAACGGCCAAAAAUAAAAAGAAAGACCUUUCUUUUGAAAAAACAAACAAAUAAAAGGAAUGCAACACGAGGACUUCCUAGGAGGUCACCCAUCCUAGUACUACUCUCGCCCAAGCACGCUUAACUUCGGAGUUCUAAUGGGAUCCGGUGCUUUAGUGCUGGUAUGAUCGCAUCCGACAUACCGUGCGUUCUCCUCCCCUUUAUGCCCGCGCCUCCGUGUACGGCCCGCCCAUAGCUCCUUCGACGGCGCCGCCUAGGAACGCGGAGAAAAUAUGACAAAGGAACGGCCAAAAAUAAAAAGAAAGACCUUUCUUUUGAAAAAACAAACAAAAAAAAGGAAUGCAACACGAGGACUUCCCAGGAGGUCACCCAUCCUAGUACUACUCUCGCCCAAGCACGCUUAACUUCGGAGUUCUGAUGGGAUCCGGUGCUUUAGUGCUGGUAUGAUCGCAUCCGACAUACCGUGCGUUCUCCUCCCCUUUAUGCCCGCGCCUCCGUGUACGGCCCGCCCAUAGCUCCUUCGACGGCGCCGCCUAGGAACGCGGAGAAAAUAUGACAAAGGAACGGCCAAAAAUAAAAAGAAAGACCUUUCUUUUGAAAAAACAAACAAAAAAAAGGAAUGCAACACGAGGACUUCCCAGGAGGUCACCCAUCCUAGUACUACUCUCGCCCAAGCACGCUUAACUUCGGAGUUCUGAUGGGAUCCGGUGCUUUAGUGCUGGUAUGAUCGCAUCCGACAUACCGUGCGUUCUCCUCCCCUUUAUGCCCGCGCCUCCGUGUACGGCCCGCCCAUAGCUCCUUCGACGGCGCCGCCUAGGAACGCGGAGAAAAUAUGACAAAGGAACGGCCAAAAAUAAAAAGAAAGACCUUUCUUUUGAAAAAACAAACAAAAAAAAGGAAUGCAACACGAGGACUUCCCAGGAGGUCACCCAUCCUAGUACUACUCUCGCCCAAGCACGCUUAACUUCGGAGUUCUGAUGGGAUCCGGUGCUUUAGUGCUGGUAUGAUCGAAUCCGACAUACCGUGCGUUCUCCUCCCCUUUAUGCCCGCGCCUCCGUGUACGGUCCGCCCAUAGCUCCUUCGACGGCGCCGCCUAGGAACGCGGAGAAAAUAUGACAAAGGAACGGCCAAAAAUAAAAAGAAAGACCUUUCUUUUGAAAAAACAAACAAAUAAAAGGAAUGCAACACGAGGACUUCCCAGGAGGUCACCCAUCCUAGUACUACUCUCGCCCAAGCACGCUUAACUUCGGAGUUCUGAUGGGAUCCGGUGCUUUAGUGCUGGUAUGAUCGCAUCCGACAUACCGUGCGUUCUCCUCCCCUUUAUGCCCGCGCCUCCGUGUACGGCCCGCCCAUAGCUCCUUCGACGGCGCCGCCUAGGAACGCGGAGAAAAUAUGACAAAGGAACGGCCAAAAAUAAAAAGAAAGACCUUUCUUUUGAAAAAACAAACAAAUAAAAGGAAUGCAACACGAGGACUUCCCAGGAGGUCACCCAUCCUAGUACUACUCUCGCCCAAGCACGCUUAACUUCGGAGUUCUGAUGGGAUCCGGUGCUUUAGUGCUGGUAUGAUCGCAUCCGACAUACCGUGCGUUCUCCUCCCCUUUAUGCCCGCGCCUCCGUGUACGGCCCGCCCAUAGCUCCUUCGACGGCGCCGCCUAGGAACGCGGAGAAAAUAUGACAAAGGAACGGCCAAAAAUAAAAAGAAAGACCUUUCUUUUGAAAAAACAAACAAAAAAAAGGAAUGCAGCACCAGGACUUCCCGGAAGGUCACCCAUCCAAAUACAACUCUCGCCGAACCACGUUUAACUUCGAAUUUCUAAUGGAAUCCGGGGCUUUAGAGCUGGAAUGAUCGCAUCCGACAUACCGUGCGUUCUCCUCCCCUUUAUGCCCGCGCCUCCGUGUACGGCCCGCCCAUAGCUCCUUCGACGGCGCCGCCUAGGAACGCGGAGAAAAUAUGACAAAGGAGCGGCCAAAAAUAAAAAGAAAGACCUUUCUUUUGAAAAAACAAACAAAUAAAAGGAAUGCAACACGAGGACUUCCUAGGAGGUCACCCAUCCUAGUACUACUCUCGCCCAAGCACGCUUAACUUCGGAGUUCUGAUGGGAUCCGGUGCUUUAGUGCUGGUAUGAUCGCAUCCGACAUACCGUGCGUUCUCCUCCCCUUUAUGCCCGCGCCUCCGUGUACGGCCCGCCCAUAGCUCCUUCGACGGCGCCGCCUAGGAACGCGGAGAAAAUAUGACAAAGGAACGGCCAAAAAUAAAAAGAAAGACCUUUCUUUUGAAAAAACAAACGCCUCCGUGUACGGCCCGCCCAUAGCUCCUUCGACGGCGCCGCCUAGGAACGCGGAGAAAAUAUGACAAAGGAACGGCCAAAAAUAAAAAGAAAGACCUUUCUUUUGAAAAAACAAACAAAAAAAAGGAAUGCAACACGAGGACUUCCCAGGAGGUCACCCAUCCUAGUACUACUCUCGCCCAAGCACGCUUAACUUCGGAGUUCUGAUGGGAUCCGGUGCUUUAGUGCUGGUAUGAUCGCAUCCGACAUACCGUGCGUUCUCCUCCCCUUUAUGCCCGCGCCUCCGUGUACGGCCCGCCCAUAGCUCCUUCGACGGCGCCGCCUAGGAACGCGGAGAAAAUAUGACAAAGGAACGGCCAAAAAUAAAAAGAAAGACCUUUCUUUUGAAAAAACAAACAAAUAAAAGGAAUGCAACACGAGGACUUCCCAGGAGGUCACCCAUCCUAGUACUACUCUCGCCCAAGCACGCUUAACUUCGGAGUUCUGAUGGGAUCCGGUGCUUUAGUGCUGGUAUGAUCGCAUUCGACAUACCGAUGCGUUCUCAUCCCCGUUAUGCGCCGCGCCUCUGUGUACGGCCCGCCCAUAGCUCCUUUGACUGCGCCUCGUAGGAUCGCGGAGAAUAUAUGACAAAGGCACGGCCAAACAUAAAACGAAAGACCUCUCUUUUGCAACAACAAACAAAAUAAAGGAAUGCAACACGAGGACUUCCCAGGAGGUCACCCAUCCUAGUACUAGUCUCGCUCAAGCACGCUGAUCUUCGGAGUUCUGAUGGGAUCCGGUGCUUUAGUGCUGGUAUGAUCGCAUCCGACAUACCGUGCGUUCUCCUCCCCUUUAUGCCCGCGCCUCCGUGUACGGCCCGCCCAUAGCUCCUUCGACGGCGCCGCCUAGGAACGCGGAGAAAAUAUGACAAAGGAACGGCCAAAAAUAAAAAGAAAGACCUUUCUUUUGAAAAAACAAACAAAAAAAAGGAAUGCAACACGAGGACUUCCCAGGAGGUCACCCAUCCUAGUACUACUCUCGCCCAAGCACGCUUAACUUCGGAGUUCUGAUGGGAUCCGGUGCUUUAGUGCUGGUAUGAUCGCAUCCGACAUACCGUGCGUUCUCCUCCCCUUUAUGCCCGCGCCUCCGUGUACGGCCCGCCCAUAGCUCCUUCGACGGCGCCGCCUAGGAACGCGGAGAAAAUAUGACAAAGGAACGGCCAAAAAUAAAAAGAAAGACCUUUCUUUUGAAAAAACAAACAAAUAAAAGGAAUGCAACACGAGGACUUCCCAGGAGGUCACCCAUCCUAGUACUACUCUCGCCCAAGCACGCUUAACUUCGGAGUUCUGAUGGGAUCCGGUGCUUUAGUGCUGGUAUGAUCGCAUCCGACAUACCGUGCGUUCUCCUCCCCUUUAUGCCCGCGCCUCCGUGUACGGCCCGCCCAUAGCUCCUUCGACGAGCCCGCCUAGGAACGCGGAGAAAAUAUGACAAAGGAACGGCCAAAAAUAAAAAGAAAGACCUUUCUUUUGAAAAAACAAACAAAUAAAAGGAAUGCAACACGAGGACUUCCCAGGAGGUCACCCAUCCUAGUACUACUCUCGCCCAAGCACGCUUAACUUCGGAGUUCUGAUGGGAUCCGGUGCUUUAGUGCUGGUAUGAUCGCAUCCGACAUACCGUGCGUUCUCCUCCCCUUUAUGCCCGCGCCUCCGUGUACGGCCCGCCCAUAGCUCCUUCGACGGCGCCGCCUAGGAACGCGGAGAAAAUAUGACAAAGGAACGGCCAAAAAUAAAAAGAAAGACCUUUCUUUUGAAAAAACAAACAAAAAAAAGGAAUGCAACACGAGGACUUCCCAGGAGGUCACCCAUCCUAGUACUACUCUCGCCCAAGCACGCUUAACUUCGGAGUUCUGAUGGGAUCCGGUGCUUUAGUGCUGGUAUGAUCGCAUCCGACAUACCGUGCGUUCUCCUCCCCUUUAUGCCCGCGCCUCCGUGUACGGCCCGCCCAUAGCUCCUUCGACGGCGCCGCCUAGGAACGCGGAGAAAAUAUGACAAAGGAACGGCCAAAAAUAAAAAGAAAGACCUUUCUUUUGAAAAAACAAACAAAUAAAAGGAAUGCAACACGAGGACUUCCCAGGAGGUCACCCAUCCUAGUACUACUCUCGCCCAAGCACGCUUAACUUCGGAGUUCUGAUGGGAUCCGGUGCUUUAGUGCUGGUAUGAUCGCAUCCGACAUACCGUGCGUUCUCCUCCCCUUUAUGCCCGCGCCUCCGUGUACGGCCCGCCCAUAGCUCCUUCGACGGCGCCGCCUAGGAACGCGGAGAAAAUAUGACAAAGGAACGGCCAAAAAUAAAAAGAAAGACCUUUCUUUUGAAAAAACAAACAAAUAAAAGGAAUGCAACACGAGGACUUCCCAGGAGGUCACCCAUCCUAGUACUACUCUCGCCCAAGCACGCUUAACUUCGGAGUUCUGAUGGGAUCCGGUGCUUUAGUGCUGGUAUGAUCGCAUCCGACAUACCGUGCGUUCUCCUCCCCUUUAUGCCCGCGCCUCCGUGUACGGUCCGCCCAUAGCUCUUUAGUUGGCGCCUCCUAGGAACGCGGAGAAAAUAUGACAAAGGAACGGCCAAAAAUAAAAAGAAAGACCUUUCUUUUGAAAAAACAAACGCCUCCGUGUACGGCCCGCCCAUAGCUCCUUCGACGGCGCCGCCUAGGAACGCGGAGAAAAUAUGACAAAGGAACGGCCAAAAAUAAAAAGAAAGACCUUUCUUUUGAAAAAACAAACAAAAAAAAGGAAUGCAACACGAGGACUUCCCAGGAGGUCACCCAUCCUAGUACUACUCUCGCCCAAGCACGCUUAACUUCGGAGUUCUGAUGGGAUCCGGUGCUUUAGUGCUGGUAUGAUCGCAUCCGACAUACCGUGCGUUCUCCUCCCCUUUAUGCCCGCGCCUCCGUGUACGGCCCGCCCAUAGCUCCUUCGACGGCGCCGCCUAGGAACGCGGAGAAAAUAUGACAAAGGAACGGCCAAAAAUAAAAAGAAAGACCUUUCUUUUGAAAAAACAAACAAAUAAAAGGAAUGCAACACGAGGAGUUCCCAGGAGGUCACCCAUCCUAGUACUACUCUCGCCCAAGCACGCUUAACUUCGGAGUUCUGAUGGGAUCCGGUGCUUUAGUGCUGGUAUGAUCGCAUCCGACAUACCGUGCGUUCUCCUCCCCUUUAUGCCCGCGCCUCCGUGUACGGCCCGCCCAUAGCUCCUUCGAUGGCGCCGCCUAGGAACGCGGAGAAAAUAUGACAAAGGAACGGCCAAAAAUAAAAAGAAAGACCUUUCUUUUGAAAAAACAAACGCCUCCGUGUACGGCCCGCCCAUAGCUCCUUCGACGGCGCCGCCUAGGAACGCGGAGAAAAUAUGACAAAGGAACGGCCAAAAAUAAAAAGAAAGACCUUUCUUUUGAAAAAACAAACAAAAAAAAGGAAUGCAACACGAGGACUUCCCAGGAGGUCACCCAUCCUAGUACUACUCUCGCCCAAGCACGCUUAACUUCGGAGUUCGGAUGGGAUCCGGUGCUUUAGUGCUGGUAUGAUCGCAUCCGACAUACCGUGCGUUCUCCUCCCCUUUAUGCCCGCGCCUCCGUGUACGGCCCGCCCAUAGCUCCUUCGACGGCGCCGCCUAGGAACGCGGAGAAAAUAUGACAAAGGAACGGCCAAAAAUAAAAAGAAAGACCUUUCUUUUGAAAAAACAAACAAAUAAAAGGAAUGCAACACGAGGACUUCCCAGGAGGUCACCCAUCCUAGUACUACUCUCGCCCAAGCACGCUUAACUUCGGAGUUCUGAUGGGAUCCGGUGCUUUAGUGCUGGUAUGAUCGCAUCCGACAUACCGUGCGUUCUCCUCCCCUUUAUGCCCGCGCCUCCGUGUACGGCCCGCCCAUAGCUCCUUCGACGGCGCCGCCUAGGAACGCGGAGAAAAUAUGACAAAGGAACGGCCAAAAAUAAAAAGAAAGACCUUUCUUUUGAAAAAACAAACAAAAAAAAGGAAUGCAACACGAGGACUUCCCAGGAGGUCACCCAUCCUAGUACUACUCUCGCCCAAGCACGCUUAACUUCGCAGUUCUGAUGGGAUCCGGUGCUUUAGUGCUGGUAUGAUCGCAUCCGACAUACCGUGCGUUCUCCUCCCCUUUAUGCCCGCGCCUCCGUGUACGGCCCGCCCAUAGCUCCUUCGACGGCGCCGCCUAGGAACGCGGAGAAAAUAUGACAAAGGAACGGCCAAAAAUAAAAAGAAAGACCUUUCUUUUGAAAAAACAAACGGCUCCGUGUACGGCCCGCCCAUAGCUCCUUCGACGGCGCCGCCUAGGAACGCGGAGAAAAUAUGACAAAGGAACGGCCAAAAAUAAAAAGAAAGACCUUUCUUUUGAAAAAACAAACAAAAAAAAGGAAUGCAACACGAGGACUUCCCAGGAGGUCACCCAUCCUAGUACUACUCUCGCCCAAGCACGCUUAACUUCGGAGUUCUGAUGGGAUCCGGUGCUUUAGUGCUGGUAUGAUCGCAUCCGACAUACCGUGCGUUCUCCUCCCCUUUAUGCCCGCGCCUCCGUGUACGGCCCGCCCAUAGCUCCUUCGACGGCGCCGCCUAGGAACGCGGAGAAAAUAUGACAAAGGAACGGCCAAAAAUAAAAAGAAAGACCUUUCUUUUGAAAAAACAAACAAAUAAAAGGAAUGCAACACGAGGACUUCCCAGGAGGUCACCCAUCCUAGUACUACUCUCGCCCAAGCACGCUUAACUUCGGAGUUCUGAUGGGAUCCGGUGCUUUAGUGCUGGUAUGAUCGCAUCCGACAUACCGUGUGUCGACGAAAGCUGGUCGGCAGUCUACCUUGGGGUAUACCCACGGUAGUAGUUUAUCGGUAGACGGUGCGCAAACUACGAACUCGAUGGUGACGCAAGACACGGACAAGCUUUUUAUCCAGGUUCGGCCGCCGAGUUGGCGUAAUACCUACGUCCUGCGUCUGGUUGUAUUGGAUUGUGUUUAGAGAUAAUCUACCCUAGGGGGUCCCCUUGCCCCUCCUUAUAUAGUCUGGAGGGCAGGGUUACAGAUCUAGAAACUAAUCCUAGCCGGUUACAAUUGCCAUAGAUAAUUCGAUAUCAAUUCCUAUUCUAACCGACUAGAAUCCUGCUUGAUCUCCACGUCCUGUUUCCUUGCGCGAAACUCGGGCUAUCGGAUCAAGCCUUGAACUCGUCUCGUAGUGGGCCAAGCUUCCUAGCUGAAGUCUAGCCGUAAGGGUAUAGGGGUUUAUACCCCCACAGCUAGUCCCCGAGCGCCAUGUAUUGUGACGCAACACUCCGUCUUGAGCUUCUUCGAUCAGCGUGGUCUGUCGUCUUCAAUGAGCGGGGAAAUCGCCCAAACGGUUCAUUGAUCAACGUUGUCAUCGAAGAAGCAGGUUGUUCGAAGAAUGCAUGGUGCUCUAAAAAAAAUUUCUUUCCUGGUGAAGUGUGCCCACUUUGCCUUUCUGAAAGGUAGAAGCAACAAAAAAGCAAGCAAAUUCACCGCUAGGUGAAGUGUGCCCACUUAGUCCCCGAGCCUGGUAGUAGGUGUCGUAGGCACGUGGUGCCAGGGUCAAAAGAAAAUUCCCCAAAGUAGUUUUGGGACUGAGAUGCAUCGUACCGAUGUAGUCCCCGAGCUUGCUGGAAGGCGAAGUAUGAGCCUUGUAGCAAGGUCUAAAAAAUUGAAUUUACCAGUCCCCGAGCAUGUCAUGCUCGUCUGCAAUCGAAAAGACCAAUCGACCAGUCCCCAGGCACUUAGUGUGCUGCCUGGAAUUACAUGUUACUAUACUGUACGACCAGUCCCCGAGCAUCGAGUGCUCAGUGGUCGGUGCAUGCUUUAAAGCUUUGAGCUGAUAGACUGAGCGACCAGUCCCCGAGCGUCGAGUGCUCGGUGGUCGGUGAAGUCUUUGAAGUUCCGAGCUGAUAAACUGGGCGACCAGUCCCCGAGCGUCGAGUGCUCGGUGGUCGGUGCAGUCUUUGAAGUUCCGAGCUAAUAAACUGGGCGACCAGUCCCCGAGCGUCGAGUGCUCGGUGGUCGGUGCAGUCUUUGAAGUUCCGAGCUAAUAAACUGGGCGACCAGUCCCCGAGCGUCGAGUGCUCGGUGGUCGGUGCAGUCCCCGGAUUGCUGACUCACUGGCGUAUGUGUCUUCUUACUUUUGAAAAGGUCUUUCAAAUUUAAAGUUGACGUGACGGGGUCUCCUGACGAUAUGUCAGACGGAUGCAUGAAAAGCUGUGCCUGGCAACUGUACAACCGCUCUUUGCNNNNNNNNNNNNNNNNNNNNNNNNNNNNNNNNNNNNNNNNNNNNNNNNNNNNNNNNNNNNNNNNNNNNNNNNNNNNNNNNNNNNNNNNNNNNNNNNNNNNCGUUCUCCUCCCCUUUAUGCCCGCGCCUCCGUGUCCGUAAAGGGCAUAGCUCCUUCGACGGCGCCGCCGUAGGAACGCUGAGAAGAUAUGACAAAGGAACGGCCAAAAAUAAAAAGAAAGACCUUUCUUUUGAAAAAACAAACAAAAAAAAGGAAUGCAACACGAGGACUUCCCAGGAGGUCACCCAUCCUAGUACUACUCUCGCCCAAGCACGCUUAACUUCGGAGUUCUGAUGGGAUCCGGUGCUUUAGUGCUGGUAUGAUCGCAUCCGACAUACCGUGCGUUCUCCUCCCCUUUAUGCCCGCGCCUCCGUGUACGGCCGGCCCAUAGCUCCUUCGACGGCGCCGCCUAGGAACGCGGAGAAAAUAUGACAAAGGAAUUUUUUUAAAUAAAAAGAAAGACCUUUCUUUUGAAAAAACAAACGAAAAAAAGGAAUGCAACACGAGGACUUCCCAGGAGGUCACCCAUCCUAGUACUACUCUCGCCCAAGCACGCUUAACUUCGGAGUUCUGAUGGGAUCCGGUGCUUUAGUGCUGGUAUGAUCGCAUCCGACAUACCGUGCGUUCUCCUCCCCUUUAUGCCCGCGCCUCCGUGUACGGCCCGCCCAUAGCUCCUUCGACGGCGCCGCCUAAGAACGCGGAAAAAAUAUGACAAAGGAACGGCCAAAAAUAAAAAAAAAAAACCUUUCUUUUGAAAAAANNNNNNNNNNNNNNNNNNNNNNNNNNNNNNNNNNNNNNNNNNNNNNNNNNNNNNNNNNNNNNNNNNNNNNNNNNNNNNNNNNNNNNNNNNNNNNNNNNNNAAAAGGAAUGCAACACGAGGACUUCCCAGGAGGUCACCCAUCCUAGUACUACUCUCGCCCAAGCACGCUUAACUUCGGAGUUCUGAUGGGAUCCGGUGCUUUAGUGCUGGUAUGAUCGCAUCCGACAUACCGUGCGUUCUCCUCCCCUUUAUGCCCGCGCCUCCGUGUUACGGCCCGCCCAUAGCUCCUUCGACGGCGCCGCCUAGGAACGCGGAGAAAAUAUGACAAAGGAACGGCCAAAAAUCAAAAGAAAGACCUUUCUUUUGAAAAAACACACGCCUCCGUGUACGGCCCGCCCAUAGCUCCUUCGACGGCGCCGCCUAGGAACGCGGAGAAAAUAUGACAAAGGAACGGCCAAAAAUAAAAAGAAAGACCUUUCUUUUGAAAAAACAAACAAAUAAAAGGAAUGCAACACGAGGACUUCCCAGGAGGUCACCCAUCCUAGUACUACUCUCGCCCAAGCACGCUUAACUUCGGAGUUCUGAUGGGAUCCGGUGCUUUAGUGCUGGUAUGAUCGCAUCCGACAUACCGUGCGUUCUCCUCCCCUUUAUGCCCGCGCCUCCGUGUACGGCCCGCCCAUAGCUCCUUCGACGGCGCCGCCUAGGAACGCGGAGAAAAUAUGACAAAGGAACGGCCAAAAAUAAAAAGAAAGACCUUUCUUUUGAAAAAACAAACAAAUAAAAGGAAUGCAACACGAGGACUUCCCAGGAGGUCACCCAUCCUAGUACUACUCUCGCCCAAGCACGCUUAACUUCGGAGUUCUGAUGGGAUCCGGUGCUUUAGUGCUGGUAUGAUCGCAUCCGACAUACCGUGCGUUCUCCUCCCCUUUAUGCCCGCGCCUCCGUGUACGGCCCGCCCAUAGCUCCUUCGACGGCGCCGCCUAGGAACGCGGAGAAAAUAUGACAAAGGAACGGCCAAAAAUAAAAAGAAAGACCUUUCUUUUGAAAAAACAAACGCCUCCGUGUACGGCCCGCCCAUAGCUCCUUCGACGGCGCCGCCUAGGAACGCGGAGAAAAUAUGACAAAGGAACGGCCAAAAAUAAAAAGAAAGACCUUUCUUUUGAAAAAACAAACAAAAAAAAGGAAUGCAACACGAGGACUUCCCAGGAGGUCACCCAUCCUAGUACUACUCUCGCCCAAGCACGCUUAACUUCGGAGUUCUGAUGGGAUCCGGUGCUUUAGUGCUGGUAUGAUCGCAUCCGACAUACCGUGCGUUCUCCUCCCCUUUAUGCCCGCGCCUCCGUGUACGGCCCGCCCAUAGCUCCUUCGACGGCGCCGCCUAGGAACGCGGAGAAAAUAUGACAAAGGAACGGCCAAAAAUAAAAAGAAAGACCUUUCUUUUGAAAAAACAAACAAAUAAAAGGAAUGCAACACGAGGACUUCCCAGGAGGUCACCCAUCCUAGUACUACUCUCGCCCAAGCACGCUUAACUUCGGAGUUCUGAUGGGAUCCGGUGCUUUAGUGCUGGUAUGAUCGCAUCCGACAUACCGUGCGUUCUCCUCCCCUUUAUGCCCGCGCCUCCGUGUACGGCCCGCCCAUAGCUCCUUCGACGGCGCCGCCUAGGAACGCGGAGAAAAUAUGACAAAGGAACGGCCAAAAAUAAAAAGAAAGACCUUUCUUUUGAAAAAACAAACGCCUCCGUGUACGGCCCGCCCAUAGCUCCUUCGACGGCGCCGCCUAGGAACGCGGAGAAAAUAUGACAAAGGAACGGCCAAAAAUAAAAAGAAAGACCUUUCUUUUGAAAAAACAAACAAAAAAAAGGAAUGCAACACGAGGACUUCCCAGGAGGUCACCCAUCCUAGUACUACUCUCGCCCAAGCACGCUUAACUUCGGAGUUCUGAUGGGAUCCGGUGCUUUAGUGCUGGUAUGAUCGCAUCCGACAUACCGUGCGUUCUCCUCCCCUUUAUGCCCGCGCCUCCGUGUACGGCCCGCCCAUAGCUCCUUCGACGGCGCCGCCUAGGAACGCGGAGAAAAUAUGACAAAGGAACGGCCAAAAAUAAAAAGAAAGACCUUUCUUUUGAAAAAACAAACAAAUAAAAGGAAUGCAACACGAGGACUUCCCAGGAGGUCACCCAUCCUAGUACUACUCUCGCCCAAGCACGCUUAACUUCGGAGUUCUGAUGGGAUCCGGUGCUUUAGUGCUGGUAUGAUCGCAUCCGACAUACCGUGCGUUCUCCUCCCCUUUAUGCCCGCGCCUCCGUGUACGGCCCGCCCAUAGCUCCUUCGACGGCGCCGCCUAGGAACGCGGAGAAAAUAUGACAAAGGAACGGCCAAAAAUAAAAAGAAAGACCUUUCUUUUGAAAAAACAAACAAAAAAAAGGAAUGCAACACGAGGACUUCCCAGGAGGUCACCCAUCCUAGUACUACUCUCGCCCAAGCACGCUUAACUUCGGAGUUCUGAUGGGAUCCGGUGCUUUAGUGCUGGUAUGAUCGCAUCCGACAUACCGUGCGUUCUCCUCCCCUUUAUGCCCGCGCCUCCGGGUACGGUCCUCCCAUAGCUCCGUCAACGGCCCGCCUAGGAACGCGGAGAAAAUAUGACAAAGGAACGGCCAAAAAUAAAAAGAAAGCCCUUUCUUUUGAAAAGACAACCGAAUAAAAGGAAUGCCACGCGAGGACUUCCCAGGAGGUCACCCAUCAUAGUACUACUCUCGCCCAAGCACGCUUAACUUCGGAGUUCUGAUGGGAUCCGGUGCUUUAGUGCUGGUAUGAUCGCAUCCGACAUACCGCGCGUUCUCCUCCCCUUAAGGCCCGCGCCUCCGUGUACGGCCCGCCCAUAGCUCCUUAGACGGCACCUCCUAGGAACGCGGAGAAAAUAUGACAAAGGAACGGCCAAAAAUAAAAAGAAAGACCUUUCUUUUGAAAAAACAAACGCCUCCGUGUACGGCCCGCCCAUAGCUCCUUCGACGGCGCCGCCUAGGAACGCGGAGAAAAUAUGACAAAGGAACGGCCAAAAAUAAAAAGAAAGACCUUUCUUUUGAAAAAACAAACAAAAAAAAGGAAUGCAACACGAGGACUUCCCAGGAGGUCACCCAUCCUAGUACUACUCUCGCCCAAGCACGCUUAACUUCGGAGUUCUGAUGGGAUCCGGUGCUUUAGUGCUGGUAUGAUCGCAUCCGACAUACCGUGCGUUCUCCUCCCCUUUAUGCCCGCGCCUCCGUGUACGGCCCGCCCAUAGCUCCUUCGACGGCGCCGCCUAGGAACGCGGAGAAAAUAUGACAAAGGAACGGCCAAAAAUAAAAAGAAAGACCUUUCUUUUGAAAAAACAAACGCCUCCGCGUACGGCCCGCCCAUAGCUCCUUCGACGGCGCCGCCUAGGAACGCGGAGAAAAUAUGACAAAGGAACGGCCAAAAAUAAAAAGAAAGACCUUUCUUUUGAAAAAACAAACAAAAAAAAGGAAUGCAACACGAGGACUUCCCAGGAGGUCACCCAUCCUAGUACUACUCUCGCCCAAGCACGCUUAACUUCGGAGUUCUGAUGGGAUCCGGUGCUUUAGUGCUGGUAUGAUCGCAUCCGACAUACCGUGCGUUCUCCUCCCCUUUAUGCCCGCGCCUCCGUGUACGGCCCGCCCAUAGCUCCUUCGACGGCGCCGCCUAGGAACGCGGAGAAAAUAUGACAAAGGAACGGCCAAAAAUAAAAAGAAAGACCUUUCUUUUGAAAAAACAAACAAAUAAAAGGAAUGCAACACGAGGACUUCCCAGGAGGUCACCCAUCCUAGUACUACUCUCGCCCAAGCACGCUUAACUUCGGAGUUCUGAUGGGAUCCGGUGCUUUAGUGCUGGUAUGAUCGCAUCCGACAUACCGUGCGUUCUCCUCCCCUUUAUGCCCGCGCCUCCGUGUACGGCCCGCCCAUAGCUCCUUCGACGGCGCCGCCUAGGAACGCGGAGAAAAUAUGACAAAGGAACGGCCAAAAAUAAAAAGAAAGACCUUUCUUUUGAAAAAACAAACAAAUAAAAGGAAUGCAACACGAGGACUUCCCAGGAGGUCACCCAUCCUAGUACUACUCUCGCCCAAGCACGCUUAACUUCGGAGUUCUGAUGGGAUCCGGUGCUUUAGUGCUGGUAUGAUCGCAUCCGACAUACCGUGCGUUCUCCUCCCCUUUAUGCCCGCGCCUCCGUGUACGGCCCGCCCAUAGCUCCUUCGACGGCGCCGCCUAGGAACGCGGAGAAAAUAUGACAAAGGAACGGCCAAAAAUAAAAAGAAAGACCUUUCUUUUGAAAAAACAAACGCCUCCGUGUACGGCCCGCCCAUAGCUCCUUCGACGGCGCCGCCUAGGAACGCGGAGAAAAUAUGACAAAGGAACGGCCAAAAAUAAAAAGAAAGACCUUUCUUUUGAAAAAACAAACAAAAAAAAGGAAUGCAACACGAGGACUUCCCAGGAGGUCACCCAUCCUAGUACUACUCUCGCCCAAGCACGCUUAACUUCGGAGUUCUGAUGGGAUCCGGUGCUUUAGUGCUGGUAUGAUCGCAUCCGACAUACCGUGCGUUCUCCUCCCCUUUAUGCCCGCGCCUCCGUGUACGGCCCGCCCAUAGCUCCUUCGACGGCGCCGCCUAGGAACGCGGAGAAAAUAUGACAAAGGAACGGCCAAAAAUAAAAAGAAAGACCUUUCUUUUGAAAAAACAAACAAAUAAAAGGAAUGCAACACGAGGACUUCCCAGGAGGUCACCCAUCCUAGUACUACUCUCGCCCAAGCACGCUUAACUUCGGAGUUCUGAUGGGAUCCGGUGCUUUAGUGCUGGUAUGAUCGCAUCCGACAUACCGUGCGUUCUCCUCCCCUUUAUACCCGCGCCUCCGUGUACGGCCCGCCCAUAGCUCCUUCGACGGCGCCGCCUAGGAACGCGGAGAAAAUAUGACAAAGGAACGGCCAAAAAUAAAAAGAAAGACCUUUCUUUUGAAAAAACAAACAAAUAAAAGGAAUGCAACACGAGGACUUCCCAGGAGGUCACCCAUCCUAGUACUACUCUCGCCCAAGCACGCUUAACUUCGGAGUUCUGAUGGGAUCCGGUGCUUUAGUGCUGGUAUGAUCGCAUCCGACAUACCGUGCGUUCUCCUCCCCUUUAUGCCCGCGCCUCCGUGUACGGCCCGCCCAUAGCUCCUUCGACGGCGCCGCCUAGGAACGCGGAGAAAAUAUGACAAAGGAACGGCCAAAAAUAAAAAGAAAGACCUUUCUUUUGAAAAAACAAACGCCUCCGUGUACGGCCCGCCCAUAGCUCCUUCGACGGCGCCGCCUAGGAACGCGGAGAAAAUAUGACAAAGGAACGGCCAAAAAUAAAAAGAAAGACCUUUCUUUUGAAAAAACAAACAAAAAAAAGGAAUGCAACACGAGGACUUCCCAGGAGGUCACCCAUCCUAGUACUACUCUCGCCCAAGCACGCUUAACUUCGGAGUUCUGAUGGGAUCCGGUGCUUUAGUGCUGGUAUGAUCGCAUCCGACAUACCGUGCGUUCUCCUCCCCUUUAUACCCGCGCCUCCGUGUACGGCCCGCCCAUAGCUCCUUCGACGGCGCCGCCUAGGAACGCGGAGAAAAUAUGACAAAGGAACGGCCAAAAAUAAAAAGAAAGACCUUUCUUUUGAAAAAACAAGCAAAAAAAAGGAAUGCAACACGAGGACUUCCCAGGAGGUCACCCAUCCUAGUACUACUCUCGCCCAAGCACGCUUAACUUCGGAGUUCUGAUGGGAUCCGGUGCUUUAGUGCUGGUAUGAUCGCAUCCGACAUACCGUGCGUUCUCCUCCCCUUUAUGCCCGCGCCUCCGUGUACGGCCCGCCCAUAGCUCCUUCGACAGCGCCGCCUAGGAACGCGGAGAAAAUAUGACAAAGGAACGGCAAAAAAUAAAAAGAAAGACCUUUCUUUUGAAAAAACAAACAAAAAAAAGGAAUGCAACACGCGGACUUCCCAGGAGGUCACCCAUCCUAGUACUACUCUCGCCUAAGCACGCUUAACUUCGGAGUNNNNNNNNNNNNNNNNNNNNNNNNNNNNNNNNNNNNNNNNNNNNNNNNNNNNNNNNNNNNNNNNNNNNNNNNNNNNNNNNNNNNNNNNNNNNNNNNNNNNNNNNNNNNNNNNNNNNNNNNNNNNNNNNNNNNNNNNNNNNNNNNNNNNNNNNNNNNNNNNNNNNNNNNNNNNNNNNNNNNNNNNNNNNNNNNNNNNNNNNNNNNNNNNNNNNNNNNNNNNNNNNNNNNNNNNNNNNNNNNNNNNNNNNNNNNNNNNNNNNNNNNNNNNNNNNNNNNNNNNNNNNNNNNNNNNNNNNNNNNNNNNNNNNNNNNNNNNNNNNNNNNNNNNNNNNNNNNNNNNNNNNNNNNNNNNNNNNNNNNNNNNNNNNNNNNNNNNNNNNNNNNNNNNNNNNNNNNNNNNNNNNNNNNNNNNNNNNNNNNNNNNNNNNNNNNNNNNNNNNNNNNNNNNNNNNNNNNNNNNNNNNNNNNNNNNNNNNNNNNNNNNNNNNNNNNNNNNNNNNNNNNNNNNNNNNNNNNNNNNNNNNNNNNNNNNNNNNNNNNNNNNNNNNNNNNNNNNNNNNNNNNNNNNNNNNNNNNNNNNNNNNNNNNNNNNNNNNNNNNNNNNNNNNNNNNNNNNNNNNNNNNNNNNNNNNNNNNNNNNNNNNNNNNNNNNNNNNNNNNNNNNNNNNNNNNNNNNNNNNNNNNNNNNNNNNNNNNNNNNNNNNNNNNNNNNNNNNNNNNNNNNNNNNNNNNNNNNNNNNNNNNNNNNNNNNNNNNNNNNNNNNNNNNNNNNNNNNNNNNNNNNNNNNNNNNNNNNNNNNNNNNNNNNNNNNNNNNNNNNNNNNNNNNNNNNNNNNNNNNNNNNNNNNNNNNNNNNNNNNNNNNNNNNNNNNNNNNNNNNNNNNNNNNNNNNNNNNNNNNNNNNNNNNNNNNNNNNNNNNNNNNNNNNNNNNNNNNNNNNNNNNNNNNNNNNNNNNNNNNNNNNNNNNNNNNNNNNNNNNNNNNNNNNNNNNNNNNNNNNNNNNNNNNNNNNNNNNNNNNNNNNNNNNNNNNNNNNNNNNNNNNNNNNNNNNNNNNNNNNNNNNNNNNNNNNNNNNNNNNNNNNNNNNNNNNNNNNNNNNNNNNNNNNNNNNNNNNNNNNNNNNNNNNNNNNNNNNNNNNNNNNNNNNNNNNNNNNNNNNNNNNNNNNNNNNNNNNNNNNNNNNNNNNNNNNNNNNNNNNNNNNNNNNNNNNNNNNNNNNNNNNNNNNNNNNNNNNNNNNNNNNNNNNNNNNNNNNNNNNNNNNNNNNNNNNNNNNNNNNNNNNNNNNNNNNNNNNNNNNNNNNNNNNNNNNNNNNNNNNNNNNNNNNNNNNNNNNNNNNNNNNNNNNNNNNNNNNNNNNNNNNNNNNNNNNNNNNNNNCCUUCAUCCAUCUGUGCGAGGCCUAUGUUGGCAUAGAGCCGCACUUUGAUCUUUUCCGGUAUCUUUUCUGUCUGAGGAAGAAGGGAGCAGUUGGAGGCUCCAAGGUUGCAGGUGGAGUAUACCUCAACCUCCGUGAUGGGAUGAAGAAUCGCUACCUGCACUGCCCAUGGAACACCUCCUUGACCGAAUGGUACAGGAAGUGGUUCUACGUCAGGGAGGAACCGGGCAGCUCCACGUUCUGCGACGUGGGGUACGUUCCCGAGAAGAGGGCGAGCUGGACUGACCGCCCAGAGUUCGACGGUCAAGUGGCGGUUCUGAUGAAGCUGAUCGACUGGUCGCGCCUGGAUGGGCUCAGCGUGGUCGGCAACUUCAUUUGCCGCCGGGUGAUGCCCUGCCAGAAGAGGGUGCACUCGGCGUAUGAAUAUGCCGGAAGCACAGACCCGACCAGGAUGCGGUCGGAGAUCCUGGAGAAGGCGGAGGUACAACAGCUGCUGAACGAGCUGUUUAACUUCGCGGAUGGGGGCUUCACCCGUAGCAGUGAUCGGGUGCAAGCCUUCAAGUUAGGACGACCAGCACCAAAGGUAUGUAGCAGACUUCGUUUGAUCAUUCGUAUGUCGCCUGUAGUUGGCUCAUCUCUGUUACCUUUGCAGGUCGGUGAUGUCGACCGGUGCGUAGUGUACGUAUCACUGGCACCGGGGAUGGAAGAUCCUGUGGGAGAGGUCCCACCGGAGGAAGGCAGAGCCCGCCCCGUCCCGACCUCCGAGGAGAGGGUGGCGGGGAAAAGGCCAUUGCCGGUGGAUCCCCUGCCGACGCCGGAGCUGCCGGCAGACCUACCGGCGGAGAGCAGCCAAGCGCCGAAGCGUCGUCGGCUCGUGCGGAUCGUCGACGACGACGACGACGACGAGGAGGCUGCGCCGUCGUUGGUCCGACGGCCUCGGGGCCGCCCAGACGCUGCACCAGUCGCCACUGAUCGAGUGGCCAACGGCGCGGCUGCCCCGCAAGUUGCCGAGGUGGGGGCACAGGCGCCGACCGGCCGGGCGAGGAGGAGGUUCACCGCGACCCAUCGCCGGUCAGACCUGUAAGUGUUCAACUUACGUAUUUUGGACUCCCCCUUUUUUUUUUUUUUAAACUUUUGUUCCUGUAGUGCGGCAUCGGAUGUCGACCCUGGCCAAACUGCCGGCCAGGGAACGGGCGAGCCUGCCCGCGGUUCUCGGGAUGCGGCCCCCCAGACCACAGAACAGCCGACUGCUGCAGUCGCGCCUGGGAGCACCGAGGAGCUCCCGAGCGCGGCGCCGACUACAACAAGCAGCCCGACCAGGGCUGGGGAGGCUCCCCCAACUGACUCUUCGGAGAAGGGAAAGUCUCCGACCGCUCCUCCUGCCGGGGGGAGUGAAGUCCCCCCGCCGCCCCGAGCAGAAGCCUCUCCGGCUGCGGGCUCCCCAGGUCUGGUCCAAGGGACGUUGACGCCUGGGACCACCACCGGGGGUGACGCAGCCCAGGAGGAGGAAACCAGGGCGGCCUCCGACGACGAGGUAGAAGAGAUCGAGGGUCGUCCCCGUGAUGGCCGCCAACACGUGUAUGUGUGGCGCCAACGCGGGGAUCACUUUAUCGGUCAUGAGGAGCUUGCCGAGUCCGAAGAGGCCGCCAGGGUGGAGCGCGCGGCCAAGCGCCUUGUCGACGAAGUCAAGGUAAGCGUCGUUUUGAGCUGCCGCGCAUUCUUUUGCCUUGUCUUCUGCGCAUUGUUAUAUGCUUGCUUUGUAGGACGUUAUGAAAACGGCGAAGUACCGGAAACGGUGCUUUGACCAGAUAGAAGGCGUCAUGGCCGAGAACAAGGCCCUUGCCGCGGAGGUAGACCGGUUGCGGGCGGAGGUCGGAGAGAAGGUGGUCGAGAUGAGCACCGAGAAGGAGCGUCGUCUCGACCUCGCUCGUCGCCUGGCCGACCAGUACCGGCUGCAGGAAGGUUAGUCUCACGCUCCGAGCAGUUUCGCAGACUUGUAUAGUUUGCUUCGCUGACCAGUUUAGGAUUCACGCAGACUUGGAGGAGGAGGUGGCGAGCCUCCAACAAGAGAAGGAGCAGCUCGGCCAACAGCUCGCCAGUGCGCAGGAGUCCGGACGGCGAGCGGAAGAGGAAUUAAGUCGUAAAGACCGGGAGUUAGCUGGUAAUGGGUGCCGCCUUGUUGGUUGCUACCUGCCCCUUUGCUUGUUUGGUAUGCCGAAAGUAACGUUUCGUUUCGUUUGCAGUGCUCAAGGUGAACACCAAAAAGCACCUGGAUGAGCUGGUCAAGGACCGGGACUCCUGGAAGGUCAACUGUUGCAGGAUCUGGAAGGGAGUGUCCCCGGUCCUGGACCUGAUCAGUCCCGAGCUCCCGGAGAGCCAGCCCCGCGCGCCGCAGUUGACCCCGGUUCAAAAGGCGCAACGGGCGUGGGACUGGCUCCAGCAGUUUGUGAAGGACGCCGGGGAGUUUGCCGGCGCGCACGUCCUCAGCAUGGUACGCGCCCACUACCCCCUUGUCGACUUGAGCAGGCUGGAGAAGGGGUACCCGAAGGAAGUCGGCCCACAGGAAGCGGACGAACUUCGGGGUAGUCUGCUGGACUUGUCGUCGACAGUGAUCGGCGACAUCAACCUGUGCGGAACGGCCACUCCUCCAGACCAGCCGAGCUCAGAUAGGUCGGCCAGGGAGUUGUCGGGCGCGUCCUUUGCUGGAGAUGGGCGGUCGACGCCUGCGGUCUCGACCAGCCAGGCGCCGGUGGCCCCGACCCCUUCGUCCGGGCAGCAGGGCCAGGCGGGUGAUCAGCCCGAGCAGCUAGGCCAAUAAAGUAGUCUGUAGGAAUAGACUAGUAUCUGCCCGUCAGGGUAUUUAUUGUAAACUUUGUAUGUAAAGUUUGUAAUAAAGUUUUCUUUUUGUCAUGACUGUUGUUUUGAGCGCUGUAAAAAUAUCUGAGUGAUGUGUCAUCGUAUUUGUCUUGGUUGUCGCCAAGAGCAUCCAUUGCGGGAGUUUUGCCGAGUGCUGUGUAUGACAAGGUAUAGGCAAAAAAUAGAGAAUUAUAUUGUCACAAAUUAUAAGACACUUACAAAAGAAAGUCGCUAAAACUUUAUGGAUAGAAACGUCGCAGUUUGUCGAUGUGCCAAGAGUUAGGCACUCGUGUUCCGUCUGGGUAUGCCAAUCUGUAGGACGUAGGUCGUGUGACCUCGGUCACCACGAAGGGUCCUUCCCAGGGAGUAGAUAACUUGUGCAUUCCCUCCUGGCUUGUUUUCCAUCGAAGCACCAGAUCGCCGACCACGAAGGAACGGUCCUUGACGUUCCUGUUGUAGUAUCGCCUGACUGCCGUGAGAUAUUUUGCUGUUCGGAGACAUGAAACUAAACGCUUUUCCUCCAUGCAAUUGAUUUCGAGUUCUCUGGCGUUGUCGGCGGUCGACUGGUCGAAGUGCUCAAUUCUAGGGGAUCCGAAGUGUAUGUCGGACGGCAGAACCGCCUCUGCGCCGUACACCAUGAAAUAGGGAGACACCCCCGUGUUUCGACUGGUCUGAGUUCGAAGGCCCCAGACCACUGCCGGCAAUUCUUUCAUCCAUCGACCGGGUGCUCUGUCGUUCUCGGUGUACAAUCUUUUCUUUAGGGCGUCGACGAUCAUUCCAUUAGCACGUUCGACCUGACCGUUGGCACGUGGAUGUGCCACUGACACAUAUUUUAUGACUAUGCCUCUGUCAUCGCAGAAAUCCCAAAAGGUGGUGCCAGUAAACUGAGUGCCCAGGUCGGUGAUUAUGCUGUUCGGGAUGCCGAAUCUGUGUAUGAUUUGAUUGAGGAACUCCACAGCCUUCUCGGAAGUUGCCUUGACCAGGGGCAUGUAUUCAAUCCACUUGGAGAACUUGUCGAUUAACACGAAGACAAACUUGAAGUUGCCCGGGGCUGGUUUAAAUGGUCCGAUCAUGUCAAGCCCCCAGCAGGCAAAGGGCCAAGACGACGGGAUGGUUUGAAUUUCAUGGGCAGGUACGUGGGUCCUCUUAGCGAAAAACUGACAUCCUUCGCAACGCCGAACCAGUUUUUCUGCAUCGCUGACCGCGGUCGGCCAGUAAAAACCUGCUCGGAAAGCCUUUCCGACCAGCGUUCUAGAUGCGGCGUGGUUGCCGCAGGAUCCGGCGUGUAUGUCCUCCAAGAGCUUGAUACCAUCGUCUUGGGGUAUGCACUUGAGCAGUACCUCGGAGCUUGCGUUUUUCCGCAUGAGUUUUCCGUCGACCAGGAUGUAGUUCUUUGACCGUCGGAUGAGACGCUCGUUCUCUGUUUUGUCCUGAAAACCUGUCCCGUCUGAGAUGUAUUUGAUGAACGGGACACGCCAGUCGCGCCCGCCGGUUGUCGGAGUGGCGUCAUCUAUGAGCAUUGCCUCGUUGGGUUGCUUGUCGACCAGGGGGGAGCUUACGCUCGGCUCAUGGAUGUCCUGGACGAAAAUACCGCGCGGGAUUUGGGCCCGGGACGAGCCUAACUUUGACAACGCAUCUGCUGCUUGGUUCUUAUCCCGGACCACGUGGAUGUACUCUAUGCCAUAGAAGUUAGUUUCCCAUUUGCGAAUUUCUUUGCAGUAGAGAUCCAUCUUCUCGUGGGUUGCGUCCCACUCCUUGUUGAGCUGGUUGAUGACCAAAGCGGAGUCCCCGUAGACAUAGAGGCGCUUAACCCCCAGCUCAACGGCUAGUCGUACGCCAUGUAAGCAAGCUUCAUAUUCGGCGACAUUGUUUGACGCCGGGAAAAGGAUCCGAAGGACGUAGCGGAGUUUGUCCUUGUUUGGUGAUACGAACAAUAUCCCAGCGCCUGCACCGUUGAUGUUCAAGGACCCAUCAAAGAACAUUGACCAGUGGUCUGAGACAUCGGGAACGGACGGUUCGUUGAGAUCCGUCCAUUCGGCAAUGAAAUCGACCAGGGCUUGGGACUUGACAGUGGUGCGACUCUGAAACUCCAGGGAAAAUGGACAUAAUUCCAUUGCCCAUUUCACGAUUCUGCCAUUGGCGUCUUUAUUGCGCAGGAUGUCACCGAGGGGAAAGCUGGUUGUCACCAGGACUCGAUGGCCGUCGAAGUAGUGCUUCAGUUUUCUUGACGUUAUCAGGAUGGCGUAUAUAAGCUUCUGUAUUUGUGGGUACCUGGCCUUGGAUUCGUUUAAAACUUCGCUUAUGAAGUAAACGGGCCUCUGGACCUUGAAGACGUGACCUGGUUCAUCUCGCUCGACCACUAUUGCCGUGGAAACAACUCUGUCGGUUGCAGCAAUGUAAAGGAGCAGGUCUUCGUUGGGCUGAGGCGCUGUGAGAACAGGCGGUGAAGUGAGGAAGGUCUUAAGCUGAGUGAACGCAGCGUCGGCGUCUUCUAUCCAGGAGAAUUUUUCUGACGCUUUCAAUAGUUUGAAAAAGGGGAGGCCUUUUUCUCCCAGCCUUGAGAUGAAACGACUGAGAGCGGCCAUGCAUCCGGUUAGCUUCUGAAUAUCCUUGACGUUCUUCGGUGGUCGCAUGUCGAGUACGGCUUUGACUUUUGAAGGGUUUGGCCGUAUGCCGUCGCAACUGACGACGUUGCCGAGCAGUAGACCGGAAGGAACGCCGAAAAUGCAUUUCUUGGGGUUGAGCUUCCACUUGUACCUAUUGAGUGCCUUGAAGGUUCGGUCUAAGUUGUCGAUUAGGGUGCUCGCAUCCCUUGUUUUUACGACCACGUCGUCCACAUAGGCCUCGACGAGGUCGUCGCGAAUCUCGUCGUGGAGGCAUUGCUGGAUGGCCCUUUGAUAAGUGGCCCCGGCGUUUUUAAGUCCGAAAGACAUGGUAGUGUAACAGUAUGCGCCGAAAGGUGUGAUGAAGGAUGUUUUGAUCUGAUCUUCUUCUUUUAACGAGAUCUGGUGAUAACCAGAGUAGCAAUCUAGAAAGGAGAGGAGUUCGCAUCCGGCCGUUGAGUCGACCACCUCGUCGAUGCGAGGAAGACCAAAAGGAUCUUUAGGACAGUGUUUGUUGAGAUCGGUGUAAUCAACGCACAUUCUCCAUUCAUUAUUCUUUUUGCGUACAAGAACCGGAUUGGCGAGCCAAUCGGGAUGAUACACCUCUUUUAUGAAUCCGGCUGCUAGAAGCCGUGUUAUUUCUGUCCUAAUAGCCUCCUUUUUGUCACGAGCGAACCGUCGCAGUUUUUGCUUGAUUGGUCUUGCGGUCUUCGAGACGUUUAAGGAGUGCUCGAUCAGGUUCCGUGGGACGCCGGGCAUGUCUGCGGGUUUCCAUGCGAAAACGCUCACGUUGUCCCUUAGAAACCUGACGAGCGCGUCUUCCUAUUUUGGAUCCAGGUUAGCCCCGAUGAGGGCUGUCUUCUCGGGGUUGCCCUCGACCAGCUGCACUUCUUUGUACUCCUUGGAUUUCGAAUUCUUUCUGGCUGUCUCCUGCUCAGGUAAUCGGAGCUGGUCGGGGGGCAGCUGUGCGGCUUGGUUUGCUGUUUCCGCCAUGCGGAUUGAGAGGUCAAUUGCCUCGGUGAUCUUGAAACUUUCUUCUUCGCAGGUGUACGCAGUGUAGACGUUGCCUCUGACGGUCAGGACACCCUUCUCCGUGGGCAUCUUAAGCACUAGGUACGAGUAGUGCGGGACUGCCAUGAACUUUGUCAGCGAUGGGCGGCCCAGUAUGGCGUGGUAGGUCCCGUCGAAGUCCGCGACUACGAAGUUGAUGAACUCCGUCCGGAAGUGAUCGGGUGUGCCGAAUUGGACAGGCAAUGUUAUCUGUCCGAGGGGCACCGAACUUUGACCUGGCAAAACCCCCCAGAAUUGGGCGUCGUAAGGUUUUAGUUGGGCCGGUGAUAUCUUGAGGGCGGGCAGGCUGUUGCGGAAGAGGAUGUCAAUGGAGCUUCCCCCGUCCACGAGCACGCGCUCGAAUCUGAUGCUGUUGAUGCAAGGAUCGAGAAUUAGUGGGAAACGACCCGGCUCCGGGAUAGCGGCCCACUGGUCCUUCCUGCUGAACGCGAUCUCCCUAUGGGACCAGGCGGGAAAUUUCAGAUCUGCGAUCAGCCCGUCCGUGCUGUCUAUGUUGAGGCAGGCUCUCUUCAACAGCUUUCUUUCUCGCUUGGACUCAGUGGAGACCUUGCCCCCGAAAAUGGAGUGGACCACGUCGGUGGGGCUGACGUAUUGGUGUCGGGGGUCCCUGUCUUGGUCCUCGUCCUCAUCUUCGUGGUCGUGCCCGUCGCGUUUGUUACUUUUCUUGGCGGUGUCUUCUUGGGCGGCCCGCCGUGUAUAGAUAUUUUUGAGGACGCGGCACUCUUCCAUGGUAUGGUUAGACUUUGGAUGUAGCUGGCACGGUCCCUUCAACGUUUUGUUGUAGUCGUCUUGGUAGUCCCGUCGUCCAUUGGGACGUUUGACCGUGUUUACUUCGUGGUCGUAUUCGCGAGGGCGCUUUCCUCUGAAGUCGUCGCGGCUGUCGCGCCGCCGAUCCCAACCCUCUCGGUGAUCGCGGUUGUCGGAGCGACGGUGAUUUCUGUUGUCGUAGCGGCCGCGACCGUCGUCUCGCCGGGAGGGCUGGUCGGUGCCUCUCGCAUCGUCUCGGAUUAGUUUUUCUGCGUCAUCAGCAUCGGCAUAAUUUUUAGCCGUGGCGAGGAGCUCUGCUACUGUUGAUGGACGUUUACGCAACAGCUUGUUCCUCAGCGCUUCAUGGAAACGUAAGCCCUUGAUAAAGGCUGAUAUGGCCUCGUCAUGAGAAAUCUUCGGGAUUUUGAGACGCAUAUCCGAGAAUCGUCGGAUGUAAUCACGCAGAGGUUCAUUCUUCCUGUCUCUUAUCCUUUCAAGGUCAUACUUGUUUCCGGGCUGUUCGCAUGUGGCGAUGAAGUUGUCAAUGAAAGCCUGUCGUAGUUCUUCCCAAGAGUCGAAGGAGUCCUCGGGCAAGCCGAGAAGCCACUGAUGACCAGCCUGGUCGAGGACUACGGGGAAGUAGUUAGCCAUGACGUGCUCAUCUCCUGCCGCUGAUCGGACGGCGAUUUCGUAGAGGGUGAUCCAGUUCUCUGGAUUUUCCUUGCCGUCGUAUUUUUUAAGUUUUUCGAGCUUGAAAUUUCUGGGCCACACGACCUGGCGGAGGUGUGAGGAGAACUGCCUUAGGCCCGGGGGACCAUGGGUCGCAUCGUACUCGAUGCGGCGUAGGUUUUCGUGGACUGCUCUCUCUGCGGCGCGCCUGUUGAUGCGGUCCCGGGCAUCUUUGGGAGGGAUGUUGUGGCGGAGAUCCCUGUGUUGAUCUUCUUCUUCCUGGCCGCGUACGCGGUUCUGCUGGCGGCGGCCAUCGGCGUCUCGACCACCAUCGUCGCGCCGUGAGUCCCCUCGACGGUUGUCGGGGGAGCGCCUGCGGCGACGCCUGCUGGGCGAGGCCCGGCUACGAUGAGUCUGGUCGGAGGCGGCUUCCGUAUAAGGGACGUCCUGGACUCUCUUAAGCAGAGUUGCUGUCUGUCCCAUCGCGGCGAUCAGGUGUGCUCGGAUACUGGUCCGGACCCCCUGGCAUUCUGGUGUGUCAGGAAGCCGAUCCAGGUUGGCCAUGGCAACAGCCACGUUGGCGCUUGGCGUUUUGUAGACCGGCUGGUCCCCGACCAUGUCAAAGGCAUCGUUGAGGUUACCCGGUGGCGUCUGUUGUUGCUCGUCCGCACGCCGUCGGGCGCGAUCGGCGUUACGCUGUUCGCGGAGUUGCCUCUGGUCGUCUGUUUCUCCGUCAACAACCGGUUCGUCGGCGCUGACAUUGAAUACAAUAUCCCCUCGCCGGGGGGGGGGAAUAUCGGGAACCGGUCGAAACCCGGAGGGUGUGAAGGGAAAUCCAGGUCGUAGCCCUCGUCUUCGGUGUUUAUAACCUCGGUGGGGACGGAGCCGGUGCUUGAGUUGGUGCUGGAAACCUGGCCGUUCCGUAGCUCUCGGAUUGUCACCAUGUUGACAUGGUGACGAUUGUUCCUUGUCGGCGACCAGCCCGCUUUGCUGAAAACGGAUUGAACAUGCUGUGAGUAGACAGAGGCCGAGUUAUUCAGGCCGCAAGGAUGGUCUCCCUUUUUGAGCUCGACGGAUCGGCCUGAGGAGGUUGAGGUUAUCGCCAGGGACGUUCCCAGCCGUUCGUGUGUGGUGACACGAGUUGGCCGGCGGGAUUUCGAAAAAUCCGCUUGAGUGGCUUGGUCGGGCCGGCGCAGAAUUCCAUCUAUUAGUUGGGAGACUUCGAGCAGCUUGGAGUCGGCGCGAUCGAGCGCUUGGAGGAGGUCCGAGCAGUCGAUCUCCUUUCCCUUGUAGAGUGGGAACGGUGGCCGGGAGUUUGGUGCCGUCAUGCGUGUGGUCGGAGACGGCGUGAUCUCAGAUUGGAUCUGGAUCUCUUUCGGGACCGUGGUCGGGAAGCCGCCGCUGCACGUCGUCCACGUGAUCUGGCCGACGGUAAACGUGAGGCCUUCGGGCACGGUCGCGGAAGCUGGGAUCGUGACCAUCUUGUUCGCCGGAAAAGUUGCACGCACACCCCCUACCUGGCGCGCCACUGUCGACGAAAGCUGGUCGGCAGUCUACCUUGGGGUAUACCCACGGUAGUAGUUUAUCGGUAGACGGUGCGCAAACUACGAACUCGAUGGUGACGCAAGACACGGACAAGCUUUUUAUCCAGGUUCGGCCGCCGAGUUGGCGUAAUACCUACGUCCUGCGUCUGGUUGUAUUGGAUUGUGUUUAGAGAUAAUCUACCCUAGGGGGUCCCCUUGCCCCUCCUUAUAUAGUCUGGAGGGCAGGGUUACAGAUCUAGAAACUAAUCCUAGCCGGUUACAAUUGCCAUAGAUAAUUCGAUAUCAAUUCCUAUUCUAACCGACUAGAAUCCUGCUUGAUCUCCACGUCCUGUUUCCUUGCGCGAAACUCGGGCUAUCGGAUCAAGCCUUGAACUCGUCUCGUAGUGGGCCAAGCUUCCUAGCUGAAGUCUAGCCGUAAGGGUAUAGGGGUUUAUACCCCCACACCGUGCGUUCUCCUCCCCUUUAUGCCCGCGCCUCCGUGUACGGCCCGCCCAUAGCUCCUUCGACGGCGCCGCCUAGGAACGCGGAGAAAAUAUGACAAAGGAACGGCCAAAAAUAAAAAGAAAGACCUUUCUUUUGAAAAAACAAACAAAUAAAAGGAAUGCAACACGAGGACUUCCCAGGAGGUCACCCAUCCUAGUACUACUCUCGCCCAAGCACGCUUAACUUCGGAGUUCUGAUGGGAUCCGGUGCUUUAGUGCUGGUAUGAUCGCAUCCGACAUACCGUGCGUUCUCCUCCCCUUUAUGCCCGCGCCUCCGUGUACGGCCCGCCCAUAGCUCCUUCGACGGCGCCGCCUAGGAACGCGGAGAAAAUAUGACAAAGGAACGGCCAAAAAUAAAAAGAAAGACCUUUCUUUUGAAAAAACAAACAAAAAAAAGGAAUGCAACACGAGGACUUCCCAGGAGGUCACCCAUCCUAGUACUACUCUCGCCCAAGCACGCUUAACUUCGGAGUUCUGAUGGGAUCCGGUGCUUUAGUGCUGGUAUGAUCGCAUCCGACAUACCGUGCGUUCUCCUCCCCUUUAUGCCCGCGCCUCCGUGUACGGCCCGCCCAUAGCUCUUUCGACGGCGCCGCCUAGGAACGCGGAGAAAAUAUGACAAAGGAACGGCCAAAAAUAAAAGAAAGACCUUUCUUUUGAAAAAACAAACGCCUCCGUGUACGGCCCGCCCAUAGCUCCUCCGACGGCCCCGCCUAGGAACGCGAAGAAAAUAUGACAAAGGAACGCCCAAAAAUAAAAAGAAAGACCUUUCUUUUGAAAAAACAAACAUUAAAAAGGAAUGCAACACGAGGACUUCCCAGGAGGUCACCAAUCCUAGUACUACUCUCGCCCAAGCACGCUUAACUUCGAAGUUCUGAUGGGAUCCGGUGCUUUAGUGCUGGUAUGAUCGCAUCCGACAUACCGUGCGUUCUCCUCCCCUUUAUGCCCGCGCCUCCGUGUACGGCCCGCCCAUAGCUCCUUCGACGGCGCCGCCUAGGAACGCGGAGAAAAUAUGACAAAGGAACGGCCAAAAAUAAAAAGAAAGACCUUUCUUUUGAAAAAACAAACAAAAAAAAGGAAUGCAACACGAGGACUUCCCAGGAGGUCACCCAUCCUAGUACUACUCUCGCCCAAGCACGCUUAACUUCGGAGUUCUGAUGGGAUCCGGUGCUUUAGUGCUGGUAUGAUCGCAUCCGACAUACCGUGCGUUCUCCUCCCCUUUAUGCCCGCGCCUCCGUGUACGGCCCGCCCAUAGCUCCUUCGACGGCGCCGCCUAGGAACGCGGAGAAAAUAUGACAAAGGAACGGCCAAAAAUAAAAAGAAAGACCUUUCUUUUGAAAAAACAAACAAAAAAAAGGAAUGCAACACGAGGACUUCCCAGGAGGUCACCCAUCCUAGUACUACUCUCGCCCAAGCACGCUUAACUUCGGAGUUCUGAUGGGAUCCGGUGCUUUAGUGCUGGUAUGAUCGCAUCCGACAUACCGUGCGUUCUCCUCCCCUUUAUGCCCGCGCCUCCGUGUACGGCCCGCCCAUAGCUCCUUCGACGGCGCCGCCUAGGAACGCGGAGAAAAUAUGACAAAGGAACGGCCAAAAAUAAAAAGAAAGACCUUUCUUUUGAAAAAAAAAACAAAAAAAAGGAAUGCAACACGAGGACUUCCCAGGAGGUCACCCAUCCUAGUACUACUCUCGCCCAAGCACGCUUAACUUCGGAGUUCUGAUGGGAUCCGGUGCUUUAUUGCUGGUAUGAUCGCAUCCGACAUACCGUGCGUUCUCCUCCCCUUUAUGCCCGCACCUCCGUGUACGGCCCGCCCAUAGCUCCUUCGACGGCGCCGCCUAGGAACGCGGAGAAAAUAUGACAAAGGAACGGCCAAAAAUAAAAAGAAAGACCUUUCUUUUGAAAAAACAAACAAAAAA